UCCGGCAUGGUGUAGUGGCUAGCAUUUCCGCCUCUCAAUUUGAGCUGUCACAGCGAAAAUGAUAAAUAAAUAAAAAAUAGGUCGCGGGAGACCGGGGUUCAAUUCCCCGUACCGGAA
This is a transfer RNA of Sclerotinia sclerotiorum, 117 nucleotides long. It matches the Rfam family "tRNA". From Rfam's summary of the family: Transfer RNA (tRNA) molecules are approximately 80 nucleotides in length. Their secondary structure includes four short double-helical elements and three loops (D, anti-codon, and T loops). Lineage: Eukaryota; Fungi; Ascomycota; Leotiomycetes; Helotiales; Sclerotiniaceae. The record is from Rfam.